UCUUGUCAUUGUGUGCCCGCCGCCGCGGUAAUCCGGCCGGUCCGUGCGUUAUCCGGAUUUAUUGGGUUUAAAGGGAGCGUAGGCCGGAGAUUAAGCGUGUUGUGAAAUGUAGACGCUCAACGUCUGCACUGCAGCGCGAACUGGUUUCCUUGAGUACGCACAAAGUGGGCGGAAUUCGUGGUGUAGCGGUGAAAUGCUUAGAUAUCACGAAGAACUCCGAUUGCGAAGGCAGCUCACUGGAGCGCAACUGACGCUGAAGCUCGAAAGUGCGGGUAUCGAACAGG
Molecule: ribosomal RNA, 284 nt
Filed under: Segatella copri DSM 18205
Lineage: Bacteria; Pseudomonadati; Bacteroidota; Bacteroidia; Bacteroidales; Prevotellaceae
Description: Prevotella copri DSM 18205 partial 16S ribosomal RNA
Rfam family: Bacterial small subunit ribosomal RNA
Source: RNAcentral